UUGCUGGAGGUAUCAGAAGUGCGAAUGCUGACAUAAGUAACGAUAAAGCGGGUGAAAAGCCCGCUCGCCGGAAGACCAAGGGUUCCUGUCCAACGUUAAUCGGGGCAGGGUGAGUCGACCCCUAAGGCGAGGCCGAAAGGCGUAGUCGAUGGGAAACGGGUUAAUAUUCCCGUACUUGGUGUUACUGCGAAGGGGGGACGGAGAAGGCUAUGUUGGCCGGGCGACGGUUGUCCCGGUUUAAGCGUGUAGGUGUGUGUUCCAGGUAAAUCCGGUUCACUUUAACACUGAGGCGUGAUGACGAGGCACUACGGUGCUGAAGCAACAAAUGCCCUGCUUCCAGGAAAAGCCUCUAAGCAUCAGGUAACAUCAAAUCGUACCCCAAACCGACACAGGUGGUCAGGUAGAGAAUACCAAGGCGCUUGAGAGAACUCGGGUGAAGGAACUAGGCAAAAUGGUGCCGUAACUUCGGGAGAAGGCACGCUGACACGUAGGUGAAGUGAUUUACUCAUGGAGCUGAAGUCAGUCGAAGAUACCAGCUGGCUGCAACUGUUUAUUAAAAACACAGCACUGUGCAAACACGAAAGUGGACGUAUACGGUGUGACGCCUGCCCGGUGCCGGAAGGUUAAUUGAUGGGGUCAGCGCAAGCGAAGCUCCUGAUCGAAGCCCCGGUAAACGGCGGCCGUAACUAUAACGGUCCUAAGGUAGCGAAAUUCCUUGUCGGGUAAGUUCCGACCUGCACGAAUGGCGUAAUGAUGGCCAGGCUGUCUCCACCCGAGACUCAGUGAAAUUGAACUCGCUGUGAAGAUGCAGUGUACCCGCGGCAAGACGGAAAGACCCCGUGAACCUUUACUAUAGCUUGACACUGAACAUUGAGCCUUGAUGUGUAGGAUAGGUGGGAGGCUUUGAAGUGUGGACGCCAGUCUGCAUGGAGCCGACCUUGAAAUACCACCCUUUAAUGUUUGAUGUUCUAACGUGGACCCGUGAUCCGGGUUGCGGACAGUGUCUGGUGGGUAGUUUGACUGGGGCGGUCUCCUCCUAAAGAGUAACGGAGGAGCACGAAGGUUGGCUAAUCCUGGUCGGACAUCAGGAGGUUAGUGCAAUGGCAUAAGCCAGCUUGACUGCGAGCGUGACGGCGCGAGCAGGUGCGAAAGCAGGUCAUAGUGAUCCGGUGGUUCUGAAUGGAAGGGCCAUCGCUCAACGGAUAAAAGGUACUCCGGGGAUAACAGGCUGAUACCGCCCAAGAGUUCAUAUCGACGGCGGUGUUUGGCACCUCGAUGUCGGCUCAUCACAUCCUGGGGCUGAAGUAGGUCCCAAGGGUAUGGCUGUUCGCCAUUUAAAGUGGUACGCGAGCUGGGUUUAGAACGUCGUGAGACAGUUCGGUCCCUAUCUGCCGUGGGCGCUGGAGAACUGAGGGGGGCUGCUCCUAGUACGAGAGGACCGGAGUGGACGCAUCACUGGUGUUCGGGUUGUCAUGCCAAUGGCACUGCCCGGUAGCUAAAUGCGGAAGAGAUAAGUGCUGAAAGCAUCUAAGCACGAAACUUGCCCCGA
RNAcentral lists this ribosomal RNA (1549 nucleotides) under Salmonella enterica subsp. enterica serovar Stourbridge. RNAcentral's name for it is "partial 23S ribosomal RNA". It matches the Rfam family "Bacterial large subunit ribosomal RNA", at positions 1270 to 2802 of the family's 2925-position model. The record is from RNAcentral. Lineage: Bacteria; Pseudomonadati; Pseudomonadota; Gammaproteobacteria; Enterobacterales; Enterobacteriaceae.